GAACCUUUGGCUUAGUGGUCAGAGCGCUAAGAUGGUGUCCAAGAGUCGCAGGUUCAAAUUCUGCUACGUUGA
Molecule: transfer RNA, 72 nt
Filed under: Heliconius melpomene (postman butterfly)
Lineage: Eukaryota; Metazoa; Arthropoda; Insecta; Lepidoptera; Nymphalidae
Description: tRNA HMEL004210
Rfam family: tRNA
About the family: Transfer RNA (tRNA) molecules are approximately 80 nucleotides in length.
Source: RNAcentral